This 368-nucleotide ribosomal RNA is filed under the name uncultured bacterium. RNAcentral's name for it is "bacterial SSU rRNA". It matches the Rfam family "Bacterial small subunit ribosomal RNA", at positions 434 to 793 of the family's 1533-position model. The record is from RNAcentral.
CAGUCGUGAGGAAGGCGGCGUCGUUAAUAGCGGCGUUGUUUGACGUUAGCGACAGAAGAAAGCACCGGCUAACUCCGUGCCAGCAGCCGCGGUAAUACGGAGGGUGCGAGCGUUAAUCGGAAUUACUGGGCGUAAAGCGCAUGCAGGUGGUUUGUUAAGUCAGAUGUGAAAGACCCGGGGCUCAACCUCGGAAUUGCAUUUGAAACUGGCAGACUAGAGUACUGUAGAGGGGGGUAGGAAUUUCAGGUGUAGCGGUGAAAUGCGUAGAGAUCUGAAGGAAUACCGGUGGCGAAGGCGGCCCCCUCGGACAGAUACUGACACUCAGAUGCGAAAGCGUGGGGAGCAAACAGGAUUAGAUACCCUGGUAG